AUAUCAAUAAGCGGAGGAAAAGAAACCAACAGGGAUUGCCCCAGUAGCGGCGAGUGAAGCGGCAAGAGCUCAGAUUUGAAAUCGUGUUUCGGCACGAGUUGUAGAGUGUAGGCGGGAGUCUCUGUGGAGCGCGGUGUCCAAGUCCCUUGGAACAGGGUGCCUGAGAGGGUGAGAGCCCCGUAGGGUGCUGCGCGAAGCUUUUGAGGCCCUGCUGACGAGUCGAGUUGUUUGGGAAUGCAGCUCCAAGCGGGUGGUAAAUUCCAUCUAAGGCUAAAUAUUGGCGAGAGACCGAUAGCGAACAAGUACUGUGAAGGAAAGAUGAAAAGCACUUUGAAAAGAGAGUGAAACAGCACGUGAAAUUGUUGAAAGGGAAGGGUAUUGGGCUCGACAUGGGGGGUGCGCACCGCUGUCUCUUGUAGGCGGCGCUCUGGGCGCCCUCUGGGCCAGCAUCGGUUCCUGCUGCGGGAGAAGGGGCUCCGGAAAGUGGCUCUUCAGAGUGUUAUAGCCGGGGCCAGAUGCCGCGUGUGGGGACCGAGGACUGCGGCUUCUGUCUCGGAUGCUGGCAUAACGGCGCAAUACCGCCCGUCUUGAAACACGGACCA
Molecule: ribosomal RNA, 602 nt
Filed under: Pichia sp. IMBG193
Lineage: Eukaryota; Fungi; Ascomycota; Pichiomycetes; Pichiales; Pichiaceae
Description: eukaryotic LSU rRNA
Rfam family: Eukaryotic large subunit ribosomal RNA
Source: RNAcentral